UUGAAAGGGAAACGAUUGAAGUCAGUCGUACUUGCGGGUAAUCAGCCUUUUGGGUGUGAUUCUGUGGAGCGUGGAGAGUUAAACGCCUUCAUGCCUGCAUAUUCAUGCACUUUGGGUGUACUUACCUGUGUGGUAGGUUAACAUCAAUUUUGAUCAUCAUAAAAUGACUGGAGGAAUGUAGCUUCGAUCUCGUAUUGAAGUGUUAUAGCCUUCGGUAGACGUGAUGUUUGGGAUUGAGGAUUGCAACGGAUACCCUUCGGGGCUACCUGUCUGAUCUCUGAUCGUUGCUCUGGUGUCGAAAGCUUGCUUACGGUCAUCAAAGUCGAUGGUCAACAGGCUAGAACGGGUUAAAUUCGUUAAGGAUGUUGACGUA
Molecule: ribosomal RNA, 373 nt
Filed under: uncultured Glomus
Lineage: Eukaryota; Fungi; Glomeromycota; Glomeromycetes; Glomerales; Glomeraceae
Description: eukaryotic LSU rRNA
Source: RNAcentral